Molecule: ribosomal RNA, 626 nt
Filed under: uncultured bacterium
Lineage: Bacteria
Description: bacterial SSU rRNA
Rfam family: Bacterial small subunit ribosomal RNA (bases 1-523)
Source: RNAcentral
CCUACGGGAGGCAGCAGUGGGGGAAUCUUGCGCAAUGGGCGAAAGCCUGACGCAGCCAUGCCGCGUGAAUGAUGAAGGUCUUAGGAUUGUAAAAUUCUUUCACCGGGGACGAUAAUGACGGUACCCGGAGAAGAAGCCCCGGCUAACUUCGUGCCAGCAGCCGCGGUAAUACGAAGGGGGCUAGCGUUGCUCGGAAUUACUGGGCGUAAAGGGAGCGUAGGCGGAUAGUUUAGUCAGAGGUGAAAGCCCAGGGCUCAACCUUGGAAUUGCCUUUGAAUACUGGCUAUCUUGAGUACGGAAGAGGUAUGUGGAACUCCGAGUGUAGAGGUGAAAUUCGUAGAUAUUCGGAAGAACACCAGUGGCGAAGGCGACAUACUGGUCCGUUACUGACGCUGAGGCUCGAAAGCGUGGGGAGCAAACAGGAUUAGAUACCCUGGUAAGUCCACGCUGUAAACGAUGAGUGCUAGUUGUCGGCAUGNAUNCAUGUCGGUGGACGCAGCUAACGACAUAAGUACACUCCGCCGUCGGGGAGGUACGGUCGGCGAAGAAGUUAAAACGUUAACGAAAGGAAAGUUAGUACGGACGUUGAGACGUUGCCGAACGGACGACGACGAGGGGAGGAGGAG